UUACUGGGAAUUACAAAUACCGUUAUCAUUUGCAUUGUAUUUAUAAUCUACCAAAUAUAUCUAUUGUUUUUAUUCUCACGAGAAAGGCGGGAAAAGUUUUUGGUAUAAGUAAACCAAAAAGUGUGUAAAUUGGAAAUAGUUUUAGACUUUGUUGUGCAAAUUAUGGAAUAAUGUUUUCAAAAUUAGUGUGAUCCCCUUUUCAUUGGCAUUUGUGUAUUUUUAAAAUGAGAAUUGCCUGUAAAUACCUAGUGACAGUGUGAUUCUAUUUCAACACUGCUGCCCACGUGGGUGUCUCAAUUUGAAAGACGUUAUUUCAUAAUAUGGAUUACCACUGAAGAAACGCAAUGGAUUAUAUUUGCUGGAUACUAUACUAAUAUUAAAAUGAGACUAUUAUUGGGACAGUUACCCCCGUCUGUGUUAAGUGGGUGUAUGAGGACAGAUGAUAAUAAAGAGCAACCUGUAAAAGUUAAACGUAAAUGUGGUCGACCUCGCAACCCAAUACCAAGACAUAAACGUGUUUCACACAUCAAUGCUGAACACCGAAGACGGGGUAAAAUUCAGAAUUGUUUCCGAACGCUUAAGAAUAUGGUACCAAAAUAUGGCGAGAUCACGUCCGGUAGAGACAGCAAAUCAGAUAUUUUGUUCAAAGCUAUAGACUACAGUAAGAAAAUAUUAGCUGAAUCGGAAGAACAUAAAACCUCCAUUGAAUCCCUAAAACAAGAAAUCGCCAUACUUAGUACAGAAAUAGAAAGUUACCAAACAUUUUUACCAGAAGGAAAUUUAUUUGACGACAAUGUGUAUACUUUAAAUGAUAGAUUAGAAGAUUAUAUUCAACAACGAACUCGAGAUAAUUGGAAAUUUUGGAUUUUCAGUUUUUUCAUUCGACCCUUGUUCGAUUCAUUUAAAAAUUCCGUGAUAACCACCACGAUGGAUGGGUUCUAUCGUUCUGUUAUGGAUUGGUCGUGUGUAAAUCUGUCUUUAGCUAAUUUACGGACAGUAAUGUUUGGUGCUUUACGUCAGAUAAGUACAGACACAUCUAUAAUGACUGAUCCAAACUAUAUACCACAUGAAGCUCUAGCACAAACAGGAAAUAUAUUUGAUCAGAACGUUUAUGAUCUUAAUCCAAAUUUGAACCCUGAUCCCGAUUUUGGCCUUAUGCAAAUGUGUUAUACAUCUUUGUAGCAUUGUACAUAUGGUAUGUAGAGCGUAUCAUUAUAAAUAUGUAAAACUGAAUGACAUAAGUUAUAAUUAUGUGUUUCAUUGUGGCAGCAGGAAAGAAUGCAGUGUAUAAGGAUGCGUACUCAAUUGUGAUUUUCAUAUGUAAAACACUUAAAAUCAUGGUGCAGUUUGUCCAUGCAACGAAUCUGAGACCUGUUGAAGUCAAUUCUGUGAUCUAUCUAUAUGGUUACAAAUUACCGGAAUCCCAAGAAUGGCAAUUUGAUUAAUGGAUAAUAUUAAUAAAUAACAAUGGUGACAUGAUACUGUGAAUCACGAAUAAACAUAGUAAAGAACCCUUUCGCAAAAUGUGACUACAUGUUUAUAGAUUGUUCUUGCCUUAUAAGGAACAAUACCAAGAAGAAAUUGGAGACCAAGAUUUAAUAUGGACUUUAUAAUGUUUGGUCAGCAGUGCGUCUGUUUUUUGGUCCACUGCUAUUGAAAUUUAUUUGAUGGCUCGCGAACCUCUGCAGUGCAGUGGGACAUAAAAGAGUCAUCUGUCCAAAUUUUUAAUUUCUUCGAUCACAUUUCGGGAUGUUUUCUCCCUUUUCAGAGUUUUCAAUAGUUUUAUUUGGUGAAAAGCUCUUUAAUAGAUCAGCAUGAAGUCCAAAACAAUUACUAGAAAUUUGCUACUGAUGGUGUAUAUAAGUAGGAUAGUAUGUUGAUUGAAAGAUAUGACGCAGUUGACAUGAAUAUUGUUUUUUGGGAUUUUAAGUUAUGGAAACUACUUCAUAUCGCUGACAGUUUCUACAGCUGUUUUAUUAAAGUUAAUUAAAACUUGAUAAUGAUCUAUAUAAAUCAUCCGAGGUGCAUCUUCUUUUCCCUUCGGAAUCAUUCUUAUAUCAUAAUACUCCACAUAUGAGUAAAUAAAACCAUUUUUUUUUAUCAGUGCCAAAGGGAGAUAAUCUAUACUAUAAUUGCAAAUACGAAUUUCCAAGACUUUAUUUCAUGUCUUACUUAGAAAUUCUGGUAUUUUAAAUUCAAAAUUCUGUAAAGUUAAUAUAUUACUUACAUGCACGCUUCUCAAGUCCAUGACUAAUUAAUUGUAUCUGUACUAUUUGUGACACUAUUUUAAUAUGUUGAAGACUAUUGAAUUAUAUUUUAUGCAUUUAUAUAUUUACAUACUGAUAUUUAUCAUCAUUAAAUUUAUCAUGAUUGUUUUGUUUUGAUAUCAUUUAUUUUGUU
RNA transcript from Patella vulgata (common limpet), 2400 nucleotides. It is a transcript of the gene named MLX-interacting protein, with no coding region annotated. The transcript is spliced from 7 exons. Lineage: Eukaryota; Metazoa; Mollusca; Gastropoda; Patellidae. The record is from RefSeq and is a predicted model, not a curated record.